RNAcentral lists this ribosomal RNA (429 nucleotides) under Bacteroidota bacterium. Its description in RNAcentral is "Bacteroidetes bacterium partial 16S ribosomal RNA". It matches the Rfam family "Bacterial small subunit ribosomal RNA", at positions 355 to 776 of the family's 1533-position model. Lineage: Bacteria; Pseudomonadati; Bacteroidota. The record is from RNAcentral.
UAGGGAAUCUUCGGCAAUGGGGGGAACCCUGACCGAGCAACGCCGCGUGAGUGAAGAAGGUUUUCGGAUCGUAAAGCUCUGUUGUUAAGGAAGAACGAGUGUGAGAAUGGAAAGUUCAUGCUGUGACGGUACUUAACCAGAAAGGGACGGCUAACUACGUGCCAGCAGCCGCGGUAAUACGUAGGUCCCGAGCGUUGUCCGGAUUUAUUGGGCGUAAAGCGAGCGCAGGCGGUUAGAAAAGUCUGAAGUGAAAGGCAGUGGCUCAACCAUUGUAGGCUUUGGAAACUGUUUAACUUGAGUGCAGAAGGGGAGAGUGGAAUUCCAUGUGGAGCGGUGAAAUGCGUAGAUAUAUGGAGGAACACCGGUGGCGAAAGCGGCUCUCUGGUCUGCAACUGACGCUGAGGCUCGAAAGCGUGGGGAGCGAACAGG